This 208-nucleotide small RNA is filed under the name Arabidopsis thaliana (thale cress). RNAcentral's name for it is "ATSL039650". The record is from RNAcentral. Lineage: Eukaryota; Viridiplantae; Streptophyta; Magnoliopsida; Brassicales; Brassicaceae.
UUAAACCUAAACCCUAAACCCUAAACCAUAGAUCCCAAACUUUAAAACCUAAAUUAUACUUUAACCUUCCGGAAUCCGGUUGCGGUUCUAGUUCUUAUGCCUAAUGAUACACAAACCAUCUUGUCAUAUUUUACUACAAAUCCGCUAACCAAGCUUCUUCUUGAUUCUCAAAGCUUUGAUGGUGAAGCCGAAGUUCUUAUGAGUGUUU